RNAcentral lists this ribosomal RNA (472 nucleotides) under uncultured bacterium. Its description in RNAcentral is "bacterial SSU rRNA". It matches the Rfam family "Bacterial small subunit ribosomal RNA", at positions 63 to 507 of the family's 1533-position model. The record is from RNAcentral.
CGCACGAGAACGUUUCAGCUUGCUGAAACUAGUAAAGUGGCGCACGGGUGAGUAACGCGUGGGUAAUCUACCUCCGAAUUGGGGAUAACAUUGCGAAAGCGAUGCUAAUACCGAAUGACAUCUCAAUAACUCCGGUCUUUGAGAUCAAAGGUGGCCUCUCCAUGGAAGCUACUGUUUGGAGAUGAGCCCGCGUACCAUUAGCUUGUUGGUAGGGUAAUGGCCUACCAAGGCAACGAUGGUUAGCUGGUCUGAGAGGAUGAUCAGCCACACUGGAACUGACACACGGUCCAGACUCCUACGGGAGGCAGCAGUGAGGAAUUUUGCGCAAUGGGGGAAACCCUGACGCAGCAACGCCGCGUGAGUGAUGAAGGCUUUCGGGUCGUAAAGCUCUGUCAAGUGAGAAGAACCUGCCCUUUGCUAAUAUCACUGGGCACUGACGGUAUCACUGAAGGAAGCACCGGCUAACUCCGUG